This 450-nucleotide ribosomal RNA is filed under the name uncultured Edaphobacter sp. RNAcentral describes it as "bacterial SSU rRNA". It matches the Rfam family "Bacterial small subunit ribosomal RNA", at positions 334 to 795 of the family's 1533-position model. Lineage: Bacteria; Pseudomonadati; Acidobacteriota; Terriglobia; Terriglobales; Acidobacteriaceae. The record is from RNAcentral.
CUGCCCUACGGGGGGCUGCAGUGGGGAAUUUUUGGCAAUGGGGGCAACCCUGACCAAGCAACGCCGCGUGGGUGAUGAAGUCUCUUGGGACGUAAAACCCUUUCGACGGGGACGAAACCGCAAGGUUGACGGUACCCGUAGAAGAAGCCCCGGCUAACUCCGUGCCAGCAGCCGCGGUAAUACGGGGGGGGCAAGCGUUGUUCGGAAUUACUGGGCGUAAAGGGCGCGUAGGCGGUUUGCUAAGUCGGAUGUGAAAACUCUGGGCUCAACCCAGAGCCUGCAUCCGAAACUGGCAGGCUAGAGUUCUGGAGGGGGUAGCGGAAUUCCUGGUGUAGCGGUGAAAUGCGUAGAUAUCAGGAGGAACACCGGUGGCGAAGGCGGCUACCUGGACAGAAACUGACGCUGAGGCGCGAAAGCUAGGGGAGCAAACAGGAUUAGAUACCCGUAGUC